Long non-coding RNA from Symsagittifera roscoffensis, 841 nucleotides. RefSeq lists it as uncharacterized. The transcript has 3 exons. NCBI's taxonomy places the organism in Eukaryota, Metazoa, Xenacoelomorpha, Acoela, Convolutidae. The record is from RefSeq and is a predicted model, not a curated record.
AGAGCGCGCAUAUAAACAAGUAAGAAAGAAAGCGCACAAAAAUUAGCCCAAAAUCCCCCCGGAAUUCUACAGCACCAUUUGGGUCCGGGUAAAAACAUUAAUGCCAAGACAGCUAUAAAAUUGGAAAAAAAAUUGGGCCCACUUUUAUAAGCAAAACAGAGUAAAGUGUAGAAAUUGCUUCAACAUUUUGAAUAAAUUGCAUACAUUUGGGACUUAAGUUGUAUAAUAAAUAAUUGCUACUAUCAGGUAACAAGGAGAUAAAAACUUUUUUUUUACAUCCAUUUGAUGAAUUGAGGGAAAAAAUUUUAACCGUUUGUUACUGCACCAAAGCACUGCAAAUUUUUUCUGCAAAAAUUUAAUCAUAUUAACGAAAAAGAAAAAAAUAAUAAUUAUUAUUAAUAGUUAUUAUUUGGAAAACUUCUUCACUUUUAUAAUUCGCAUCCGAAGGAAGAAUUCUUGUUAUUCUCAGUGGUUAAUAUACUACGUUGGAUUUAUAAACUCUUCUCGCAUUCUUAACAACACUUAGAAGGUAACCAACACGUGAUCGAACAACUGACUCGGAAUGUCGUCUUCUCGUUUCGCUUUUUACGACGGGUGUGAUGAAGAGAUAGUGAAGAUAGUGUCUAAAUGUAAAGAACAUGACAUUGAGUUUCUGAGGAUGACAUACUGCGACACAAAUGGAAUCGGCAGAUGCAAAUUGGUCAGUGUUCCGUGUGUAGAGAGUGUGUUGCGAGGGGGAGGGGUGGGAAUGUGUUGUGUGGUGCCCCUGUUUGACGCAUCCUCCCAAGUGGCUACCCUGGAUGAACUAGAAGACUCUGGCUACCCUGAUUGCUAUGUGUUU